Long non-coding RNA from Zeugodacus cucurbitae (melon fly), 5319 nucleotides. RefSeq lists it as uncharacterized. NCBI's taxonomy places the organism in Eukaryota, Metazoa, Arthropoda, Insecta, Diptera, Tephritidae. The record is from RefSeq and is a predicted model, not a curated record. The transcript is spliced from 4 exons.
UAAAAAUUUAAGAUUACACUAUAUUUUCAAAUGAGUACAAUACAUUAUAUAUUAGCUAUAUGAAAUUAAAUUCUGUUCAUUGUGCCCUUAUUCAUAAUUAACACGUAUUUUCUGCCUUUUUGUAACUUGUUCGUUUUAUUCUUUUGCCACCCUAUCUCAAUAAAGCUUUAAUUAUGAAAAGCAAAAACAACAACUAGAGAAACUGUCAAAUAACUUACAUGGUUGCUCUAUUCUUGCUACCAUAAUUCUGUGGUGAAUAAUUAUGCCACCAUAUUCGAUAAAAUGAAGUCCAAAUAAAUGCUUUCAUUAUUCUUAAAUUUGGACGUAGAACGAGGUGUUGUAACAAUUAGUGAAAAAAGGAACUCUUUUUUAUCGAAAAAGUAUUAAAAGCUUUCAAAUAAUCAGUAGUUUUUUUUUUACAACUUUUCAUUAAAUUUCGCAAAAAUCCUACAGGCCAUUUUCCGGCAGAAAGUCAGCCAUCUUGGAUGUCAAAAGAAACUCACCCCCGGGGACUACUUGACAGUUCUCCAUGAACCCCUCUCAGCUGUGGAUUGUUUACGUUUUAUUAGCUGAUAGUUUCUCUACUUCUCUAUACAAUGGUGCGCAUGUUACAAAUUUUCGAUGCGUAAACAAUGGAAAUUCCAUCGAGUGCGUACAUACAUACAUACACAUACGCGCUUCACUUUCCAUCAGAACACAAAGAACUUGUAAAUUGAAGUGCUUGAGUAAAUCAGUGUUUAUGGGAUGAUAUACAAACAAUGUACAACCGAACGCUAGCAUUAGUUUGUAUCACUUCUGGUAUUUGCUGCUGAUGCGAAUAUUCAUAAACAAAUCAGGCAUAAGCUGAUCGCUAGUGGCUAGAUUCUCUAUCGCCAUUUGAAGACAAACGGUACUCUUCGUGUAUAUGAACCGAAGUGACAGACAGAGUAACGUAUCAGUACUUAACCCUGCUUAGAUAACGUACAUACGUCUGCGAGACGUACACUUGUUUUAUUUUUCGUUCUCUCUUUCGCAACCGUUAAAAGGGAAUAUUCUCGCUUUCAGUUUUCUCAGUCGUUAACUGCAGCUUGUGAGAGUUUUUCAGUGAUAAGUGUUUUCUCUGAUGAAAUAUUACAAGUUUGUUUUCUGAAGGUCCAGACCCAAUGCUGGCUGGCUUUACUUGCUUUCGUUGACUUUGCGUACUUUGAAUGCUUAUAUCACCAAAUGAGCGCUUUGAACGCUUUCAAAAUAAUGUCACAAUCACUGUUGCCACACACGUAAACUUGCUAAUAUUUCCAUGUUAAAUGUUAUAUUAUUAUAAACUCUUUGUAAAUUUCUAUAUACAUAUAUCAAAUAUUUUAAAUAUUCGAAAUUUUAACUAUUUUUACUGGCAAACCAUAUGUGAUAAAUAUUUGUGUGCCAAUGUAGCAUCAAAAAAUUUACUGAAAUUGGUACAUUUCACCCAAACUGGUAACCCUAGUUACAAUAUCAAAUGUCAAAUGCGCCAGUAGCGCUGGCAAAUAGAGCAUAGAUCUAUUCGUAAGUUCAAGCGCUUGAAGCAAAGCUCCAUUUGGUCUCUUUGCAUAUGCUCUAGUAUAGUUCUAUUCAGUUUUGACAGUUCUCACAGCAAAGCAAGUAAAGCCAGCCAGCAUUGGGUCUGGACCUUGAGUUAAUAAACAUGAAGAAUUAAAGUGUGGAUGAGACAAAAGUUGCUGCUCUUUUUGCAGGAUAUUUUGGAUGGCUCAAAUUCAUCGGAAAAUGGAAGCGAAUCAGAAAAUGAAUUGCUGGAGGAUAAUGUACAAAGCGACGUGGAAAACAAGUUUAUUAAUUGUAAAUCCUCUCAAGAAUUACCGCAACCCUCUGCACACUUUAAUUCACCUUCCGAUUAUCACAUUAUUACGCUACCCCAACCGACCCUUAAAAGUAAAAGUAAGCAUUGUUCGAGAAAAACCAACAGGUGGCCUAUGGAAAUAUUUUACGGAAUACUAAACAUGGAAUUCAUAAACUCUUAUGUUAUUUAUUGUCAUAAUUCGAUUUCCAAAAGUCAAAAGACAUUGAGUUGUAAAGAGUAUAUGAAGUCACUUUCAUGGUCAGCAUACCUCAAAAAAGAAAAGGUACAGUGGCUUUUGCCCGUCCAAAAUCCGACGUAUGUAUGUCAAAAAUGACAUGCGUAAAAUAUGACACACCCGUGUGUGGGGAACACAAUAAUUUAGUAUGUAAUUCUUGCAUAUAAUAUUAAUAUUAUGUCAAAACUUAUUUUUUUUUUGCAUUAUAUAAAUGAACACUGAUAUUGUUAUCUAAUUUAACCAAAACAAAAAAAGAAUUUUUUAAGUUUUAUGUUAUGAACUGGCGUCCUUUUAAAAAUACUAAUUUUGAUACUCUCGCAACCUGUUGCACAGAGUAUAAUAGUUUUGUUCACAUAACGGUUGUUUGUGUCUCCAAGAAAUAUAAGAGUUAGAUAUGGGGUUAUUUAUACAUAAAUGAUCAGGAUGACGAGUAGAUUUGAAAUCCGGAUGUCUGUCCGUCCGUCCGUCUGUCCGUGCAAGCGAUAACUUGAGUAAAAAUUAAGAUAUCUUAAUGAAACUUGGAACACAUGUUCCUUGGCACCCUGAGGAGGUUGCUUUCGAAAAUGGGCAAAAUCGGUCCACUGCCACGCCCACAAAAUGGUGGAAACCGAAAACCUAUACAGUGUCAUAACUAAACCAUAAAUAAAGUUACGAAAAUGAAAUUUGGAACAUAGGAUCCCAUUCGGGAGGGGCACAUUUGGAUGUAAUUUUUUUGGAAAAGUAGGCGUGACCCCGCCCCCAAAUAGGUUUUUUGUAUAUAUUUGCAACCCAAUUAAUCUAUAUAAACCAAACUUUCUGCAGUCGUUUCUUUUAGCAGUUUCCUUAUACAGUCCAAAAAUUAAAGAAAUGGGAUAAUAACCACGCCCACCUCCCAUACAAAGGUUAGGUUGAAAAUUACUAAAAGUGAGUUAACUCACUAACGAAAAACGUCAGAAACACCAAAUUUUACAUGAGAAAUGGCAGAAGCUGCACUGAGAUUUUUUUACAAAAUGGAAAAAGGGCGUGGCGUCACCCACUUAUGGGUCAAAAACCAUAUAUCAAGAACUAUUCGACCGAUUUUAAUGAAAUUCGGUAUAUAACACUUUCUUGACACCCUGAUGGCACGGGUGGAAUAUGGGCGAAAUCGGUUCACAACUACGUCUACUUCCCAUAUAACUCAAUUUUGAAUUCCAUCUGAUUCGUUCACUUUAUAAUGUAUUCAUAAGAAACCAAUGAAGCUAGCGGAAUAAAACUUUACACAAAUACUGUAUUUGAGCUGUGACAUCACUUGUGGAAAAAUUGUCAAAAUUGGACCAUGACUUUUCAAGGCCCCUAAUAUCGAACAUGAACUCAGUGCCUAAGGUUAAUUUUUCACCGAAAAUAUAGGUAAAUCCCUCAGAUAUUUUAAUGUAAUUCAUUCCCUCUGCAUUUUUUUCUUAUAACGGUUUCUCUCUGUACCUGAAAUGGUAAAAAUCGGGUUAUAUCUUCUCCCAGAUCCCAUAUACCUAAUUAUAAGUAAUAUUAAAUUAAGUGAGCGUAAAGUCUUCGAUAUAUUGUAUCUUGGUGGUGAAAAAGAGUGAAAUCGGUUUAGGAAUUAAAUCAGUCCCCAUAUACUAUUUAUGAUGAUUUUCGUUAUUCUAUUGAAUUUUAUGCAGAAUAUAUGGGUCGACUUGUGUUAUCUUUAUAAAAUUACAUCAAUAAAUUGCGAGAGUAUAAAAUGUUCGGUUACACCCGAACUUAGCCCUUCCUUACUUGUUUGUAAUGAAUUUUUAAUACAAGUGAAAUUUCCUUUCGAUUUCUUAAAUAAAUAAUAAUUUUCUUGAAACAAAUAUCCAAAAUUAAAGUAUAAUAAUUAAAUAAAAGAUCUACGUAAAAAAAUAUCUGCAAAAGUGUUUCCAUUGACAUCCUUAAAGGACGAAAACUUGAAUACGUCUCUCAGACAUACGUUGUCUUUUCAGUACUUAAAAAUAACGUUAUCUAAGCAGGGUUAAGUAUACACAAACAUUUAUUACUCGUUGCAGUUCUCUGGUGCGUACCAUAUUGUAUUUAGGUUUUUGAUGAUGUUUGCCUUCAACCCUGCUAUAGCAGGUACAUCUGCCAUUUGAAGCUCGCAUAGAUGCCGCAUUUUGUUAAUAGAUGGCACGACGAAACAUAAGGAAGGUGAACUGCAAAGUUGUAGUUUCUUGAAAAUUACUUCAAAAUUGUUGCAUAGUUCCACAAUUUGUUGCAAUGUUGAUAUAAGUAUCUAUCAGCAUCAAUCGUUGGCUUUCUUGCUUCUCUUUGAAAAUUUCGUUGAUGUCAAACCAAUUGUCUACUAUAGACUUAAACAUUGAGAAGUUUGAGUUCCAGCGUGUCGGGCAAUAAUUUUUUAAUGUAGUUUGUAAUAGAUUUUGUAAAUUUGUUUUUUUUUAACUUAACAAUUUUUUUGCACUUUUCAACAAGCUCGGUUGCCUCCAUUGAAUCAUUAAAUGAACGUUCCAAAACGUUAGCAAGCAAAUGGCUGCUGCAAUUUAAUCUUGUGUUAUUCUCUAAAGCUAUCAAAAUAUUAGCACUUCUGUCUGUCACAAACUUAUGCCGGUAUUCUGCUUGUCACAUUUGUCUCAUGUCUUUAUUUGUCACAAUUGCGAACUGGCGACCCUGUUAGUCAGGAAGUAUCAUUUUGGUAUUCUGGCUGAUACAGUCUCAAAAAAGUUCACCAAAUAGUGUGGUGAAAAGAAAAGCAAGCUAUCAGCUGUUUAUUUUAGUUGAUUAGAGAUGAGUGCAUGUUCACAAUGAUACUUUAUGAAUUGAUUGCACGCAAUUAGUUUUUUUUUUACCAAAUUUCAGCAGAAAAAUUUCUUGUAAAUAAUUGGAUAAUACUAUUAAUGAAAAUAAUACUGAAAUAGUUUAUAAUAAAUGCGUAAUAUAUGCAUUUUAUCUGAAUCAAUUGUUAAGUAAAUAUGAAAAAUGUUAACAACCUAACAAUCGACUAACACAUGUUCUCAUCCUUACAUUUGAGCAUAAUGGCAAUCGAAGAUUUUGGAUAUAUAUAUACAUACAUAUUUGUGUUUUGGAAAUCGAAAGAAUUUCCUAAACGUAUUUUCUUCAUAUAAAAAGUGAUCUUCCUUGUUGCGCAAAAUAGCCAGAUUGCGCCUACGAGUGUAGCUAAAACAUAGGCCAAUUGCAUCAACCAUUAUUGUGCUCUUGUUUUUCUGUGACCUGGUUUAAAGCACAUCACAAAUUAGAGACUGAUAUUGCUCAAAUAGAGAUGAGACAAACUCGCCAGAAUACCAAAAAGUCACUAUAGAGAUUACAC